Molecule: ribosomal RNA, 248 nt
Filed under: uncultured Lachnospiraceae bacterium
Lineage: Bacteria; Bacillati; Bacillota; Clostridia; Lachnospirales; Lachnospiraceae
Description: partial 16S ribosomal RNA
Rfam family: Bacterial small subunit ribosomal RNA
Source: RNAcentral
UACGUAGGGGGCAAGCGUUAUCCGGAUUUACUGGGUGUAAAGGGAGCGUAGACGGCGAGACAAGUCUGAAGUGAAAUGCCAGUGCUCAACACUGGAACUGCUUUGGAAACUGCCUGGCUGGAGUGCGGGAGAGGUAAGUGGAAUUCCUAGUGUAGCGGUGAAAUGCGUAGAUAUUAGGAGGAACACCAGUGGCGAAGGCGGCUUACUGGACCGUAACUGACGUUGAGGCUCGAAGGCGUGGGGAGCAA